CCCUCCACCACGUUCCCCCGUGCCUCUGUCUUCCAUGACGUCCCCGUGCCUCUCCCCUCCCCGUGUCUCUGUCUUCACACGACGUUCUCCCCGUGCCUCUGUCUUCGCACGACGUUCUCCCCGUGCCUCUGUCUUCGCACGACGUUCUCCCCGUGCCUCUGUCUUCGCACGACGUUCUCCCCGUGCCUCUGUCUUCGCACGACGUUCUCCCCGUGCCUCUGUCUCCACACGUUCCCCCGUGCCUCUGUCUUCGCCACGUUCUCCCCGUGCCUCUGUCUUCGCACCACGUUCUCCCCGUGCCUCUGUCUUCGCACGACGUUCUCCCCGUGCCUCUGUCUUCACAUCACGUUCUCCCCGUGCCUCUGUCUUCACAUCACGUUCUCCCCGUGCCUCUGUCUUCACACGACGUUCUCCCCGUGCCUCUGUCUUCACAUGGUGUUUUCUUCUUGUCACAAGGACACCAGUCAUGUUGGAUUAGGUCCUACCCUACUGACCUGAUCUUACCUUGAUUACAUCUACGAAGACCCUAUUUCCAAAUAAGGUCACAUUUAAAGAUACUAGGGGGUUAGAACUUUAACCUAUCUUUUGUGGGGAAUAUAAUUCAAAGUCGAAGAGAACCACAGCCACUCACGCUCACAUUUUCCAUUCAUUCAUUCACUCUCCAAGGGGAAAGCAUCUGAGCUGUGUCUGCUGCUUCCCACAGGGGGAGGACCAUGUAGUGGGGAGCAGGGAGAUGGGAGGCAGGUGCAGGUGUGUUCAGGACAAAAAGGCUGGAUGAAGAAAGGACAACAAAAGUCAGAUAGGUGAGAAACAAAGAAUGCGAUCAAGAAAUAUUAUCAGUUGAGUGUUACUAGAGAAUAAAAGAGGAAAGGGAGUAAGUAGCAGUGUCAAAUUCCCAGGAAGGUCCAAUGUGGCAAGAUUUGAAAAGCAGCGGCAGGGUGAUAACUUUACCUUCUCCCCCUUUCAGUUUCAAAGUAUCUAUAGUUUUAAUGCAAGUUUUACAGCACAUCCUAUCAAGGUUCAUAUUUUUCCAUCAAAAUAAAGCUCUGUAUCUAUUACUCUAUAGACCUACUCCAAAAAAUGUUAAGGUAUAUUAUAUUUUAGAGCAAUUGGGCCAGGAAAGAUAAAUCACCUAAACAAAAGCAUUAAACUGUAAAAUAUUUGAAAGACCUGUUUUUCAAAGAUAUAUCUUAAUUAAAGUUAGCCUGAUAUAUACUGUCUCUUCUGGGAAUAUGACUGGUUGAGUUGUUGCAGACUCUACUUUCACUUCAAGUAUAUAGAAAACCCUGAUAAGUAUAACAUUUUUAAAAUACAACACUAAUCCUGAAGGAAAUAACAGAAUUAUAAAUAAAGAAGUAAAUGUCAAAUUUGAUGCCUUUAUCUCUGAGAGGGAGAGAACCCAUCAGGUUCCAAUAUAGAUCUUGACAGUAAAAGGUUAGGCUUUCAAUAGCUAUCCAGGAACAGGAGACAUUGAAAUAAAGCCAGGACCCUAAUAACAACCACAUUUUCCAUGAAAAUUGGACUAGAAGUGGCAAGGAAGCCUGUAGCUGAUUUAAAACACUGGGUAGGGAAAAAAUAAAUUUCCAAAGAAAAACUAAAACAGUAUAUCUAACUAGGUGUGAGAUCUACAUGUGCAGUAUCCAACUGGUGCAUGAGACUCAAAUCUGCGAAAUGAGAUUUGAAAAGAAAAUUGAUCCUAGAUCAAUGAAAACUAGUAUUUGUGGCAGAAGUAAACAAGCAAUGAAAUACACAACUAAUUUAUAAGAAACCAGAUCACGUAAGACUCUCACAGAUAAAUGCUUGUGAAGGUGAGCUAGCUCUGUGAAAUUAUAAAUCAUAUAAGGAAAUGAAUCACUAUGAGAAUGGGUCAGUAGAUACAACAGGGUAAUUACCAUGUUAAUUAAAACUUUAAAAUAGUGUACAUUAAAAAUAUUCCAAAUUGGGUAUAUUUCAGAGAUUAAAAUUAUUAAAAUGUGAAAUAAAGCACUAACAAAAUUAAUGAGACAAUUUUAAGAAGCAGAUUAUGAAAAAGGUUAAACAUAAUUCUAGAAUUUUUAAAAAAAUAUCACUAAAAUCUAAAUGCACAGAAUGGGUAAAACAGUGCAUAAACACAGCCAAAAAGCAGACAACUGUACUAGAAAAUAGUUUGGAAAAAAUUAUCAAGAGUACCACUCAGAGCCAUCAAAAUAGGAAAUAUGAAUAUAAGGUAAAGACACAAAAAAUAGAGAAAAUCCAACAUAUUUUCAAAUAGGAGUUUCCAAAAGAAUAAUAGAGAAAAUGCUGACAAUGUAUAAAUGGAAAGAUAAUAGCUGAUAAGUUUUCAGAACAGUAAAUCAUUCCACAAUUUAAACAAGUAUAGCAGAUGCUGAGCAGAAUUAAAGCAUAAAUUCACACCAAGGCACAUCUAAAUGAAACUUCAGACUACAAAUCAAAAACAAAAUGUUAAAAACAUCUAGGAGAAAUGGAGAUUACCCAUAAAGAAAUGACAAUUAGAGGGGUAGCAGAUUUCACAACAGUAAAAAUAGACGCCAGAAGACAAUGGAAAAAUAUAUGUCAGUCUAUCAUUUUAUACAAGCUAAAUAAUUAUUCAAAAGAUUUCAAGCAAAAACAAAAGUCCAUGGUAAACAAAAGAGGUAAACUAAGAGGGUCAAAAUUAUUCCAAAUCAGUAAUCAAAAGAAACAUAAAUGGGUGGCAGGCGCAGUAGCUCAAGCCUAUAAUCCUAGCACUUUGGGAGGGCGAGGCAGGCGGAUCACCUGAGGUCAGGAGUUCGAGACCAGCCUGGCCAACAUGUCAAAACCCCAUCUCUACUAAAAAUACAAAAAUGAACUGGGCAUGGUGGUAUGCACCUGUAAUCCCAGCUACUCGGGAGGCUGAGGCAGGAGAAUCACUUGAACCCGGGAGGUGGAGGUUGCAGUGAGCUGAGAUCGCGCCAUUGCACUCCAGCCUGGGCAACAAGAGUGAAACUGUGUUUCAAAAAAACAAAAAGAAUAAAAAAAGAAAUAUAAAUGGGUUAAACUUAAGAGCACAGAGAUUCUAAAAUAGGAUUUUUUUUAAAAAAUCACAGUUCUUAGCUGUUUUAUAAAACAUAAUACUCAAAUUACAGAAGUCUGACAUUUAAUAAAUAGGAAAGAAUAAACCAGGAUAAUACUAAAGAAACAAAAGGUAUUUGUAAAAGAUGUUCACCACAUUAAUAUCAGGCAAAAGAGAUUUUGAACAAAAGCCAUGUUAGAAAUAAAGAAAACUGUUACUUUUAAUAACAUAAAAGACAAUUCCUCAGGAGGAAGAUCCUGAAUGCACCUUGUAGCGUUACCCUCAAAAUAAAUAGAACAAAAAUAGACAGAAAUGAAAAAAGAAAUAUCCCAGAUAAAAGUGAAUAAAAUAUUAUCUUAAAAGCAAUUUAUAUAUGAGUUAAACUUUUAUAGACAUGAAAGCUAGUUAUGGUUUUAAGACAAAUUAUCUCCACUGCCAUCUUAUUUAUACCACACAUUAGCUUCUGACACCAGAGUGUAAAAAAUCAUUCCCUAUCAUAAAUUAUACAUUUUUAUUUUAUUUUAUUUACUUUUUUGAGAUGGAGUCUUGCUCUGUUGCCCAGGCUGGAGUGCAAUGGUGUGAUCUCCCGCUCACUGCAACCUCUGCCUCCCAGGUUCAAGCAAUUCUACCUCAGCCUCCCAAGUAACUGGGAUUAGAGGCAUGCACCACCACGCCAGCUAAUUAUUGAAUUCUUUUAGUAGAGACAGGGUUUCAGCAUGUUAGCCAGGCUGGUCUCCAACUCCUAACCUUAGGUGAUCUGCCCACCUUGGUCUCCCAAACUGCUGUGAUUACAGGCAUGAGCCACCAUGCCUGGCCUAAAUUUUUAAAUAAGGAAGCUUAAGUAUAAAUAGUUAAGCUUCUAACUUUAAACAACCUUUAAAAAAACAAUAAUCCUCUUUUGUAUAGUGACUUUUAUGUAUAAAGAAUUUUCAUAAACAUUGAUGGAAUCACACAGAAUAUUUAAUAACUAAGGCUAAGAUUAUGCCUUCUAACUAUAAAAAUCAGUGGGUUUUUGUUGUUUGUUUUGAGACAAGGUCUCACUCUGUCACCCAGGCUUGCAUGCAGUAGAAUGAUCAUAGUUGACUGUACCCUCAAACUUCUGGGCUCAAGGUAUCCUCCUGCCUCAGUCUCCUGAGUUGCUAGGACUACAGGCACAUCACUAUUCCAGGUAAAUUUUUUAAUAUUUUUUUUUAGAUACAGGAUCUAACUGUGUUGCUCAGGCUGGUCUCAAACUCCUGGCCUCAAGAGAUCUUCCUGCUUCAGCCUCCCAAGUGGAAAACCAGUGUUCUUUAUGUUACCAGACUGCCUUUCAAGCAUCUUAGAGUUU
This is a long non-coding RNA of Macaca mulatta (Rhesus monkey), 4358 nucleotides long. Lineage: Eukaryota; Metazoa; Chordata; Mammalia; Primates; Cercopithecidae. The record is from Ensembl.